RNAcentral lists this non-coding RNA (45 nucleotides) under Schistosoma margrebowiei. The record is from RNAcentral. Lineage: Eukaryota; Metazoa; Platyhelminthes; Trematoda; Strigeidida; Schistosomatidae.
AUCCAGCUGACUAGUGCCCAAUAGGACGAAACGCGCAUCCUGGAU